UUGCCUUAGUAACGGCGAGUGAAGCGGCAAAAGCUCAAAUUUGAAAUCGGCCAUCAGGUCGAGUUGUAAUUUGUAGAUUGUACUUUGAGAGCGGAUUAAAGUCUGUUGGAACACAGCGCCUUAGAGGGUGACAGCCCCGUAAAAUCUAUUCUCAUUGUAAGGUACUUUCGAAGAGUCGAGUUGUUUGGGAAUGCAGCUCUAAGUGGGAGGUAAAUUCCUUCUAAAGCUAAAUAUUGACGAGAGACCGAUAGCGAACAAGUACUGUGAAGGAAAGAUGAAAAGCACUUUGAAAAGAGAGUGAAAAAGUACGUGAAAUUGUUAAAAGGGAAGGGUAUUGAAUCAGACGUGGUGCUGUUGUUCAACUUUGUUUCGGCAUGGUGUACUCAGCAGUACUAGGCCAAGGUGGGGUGUUUGGGAGUGAAAAAGGAAUAGGAACGUAGCUCUUCGGAGUGUUAUAAUCUAUUUUCAUAGCUCCUCAGGCGCCUCAGGACUGCGCUUCGGCAAGGACUUUGGCAUAAUGAUUCUAUACCGCCCGUCUUGAAACACGGACCAAGGAGUCUAACGUCUAUGCGAGUGUUUGGGUGUAAAACCCGUACGCGUAAUGAAAGUGAACGUAGAUAGGAGCAGUAAAAUGCGCACUAUCGACCGAUCCUGAUGUUUUCAGAUGGAUUUGAGUAAGAGCAUAGCUGUUGGGACCCGAAAGAUGGUGAACUAUGCCUGAAUAGGGUGAAGCCAGAGGAAACUCUGGUGGAGGCUCGUACCGGUUCUGACGUGCAAAUCGAUCGUCAAAUUUGGGUAUAGGGGCGAAAGACUAAUCGAACCA
Molecule: ribosomal RNA, 823 nt
Filed under: Geotrichum candidum
Lineage: Eukaryota; Fungi; Ascomycota; Dipodascomycetes; Dipodascales; Dipodascaceae
Description: partial large subunit ribosomal RNA
Rfam family: Eukaryotic large subunit ribosomal RNA
Source: RNAcentral